This 451-nucleotide ribosomal RNA is filed under the name uncultured bacterium. RNAcentral describes it as "bacterial SSU rRNA". It matches the Rfam family "Bacterial small subunit ribosomal RNA", at positions 354 to 796 of the family's 1533-position model. The record is from RNAcentral.
GUGGGGAAUAUUGCGCAAUGGGGGAAACCCUGACGCAGCGACGCCGCGUGUAGGAAGAAGGCCUUCGGGUCGUAAACUACUGUCAAGAGGGAAGAAACCGUAGAGCAUUAAUACGGCUCUGCGCUGACGGUACCUCUAGAGGAAGCACCGGCUAACUCCGUGCCAGCAGCCGCGGUAAUACGGAGGGUGCGAGCGUUAAUCGGAAUCACUGGGCGUAAAGCGUGCGUAGGCGGCGUAUCAAGUCAGACGUGAAAGCCCUCGGCUCAACCGGGGAAUUGCGUUUGAAACUGGUAUGCUAGAGUCUCGGAGAGGUUGGCGGAAUUCCAGGUGUAGGAGUGAAAUCCGUAGAUAUCUGGAGGAACACCGGUGGCGAAGGCGGCCAACUGGACGAGUACUGACGCUGAGGUACGAAAGCGUGGGUAGCAAACAGGAUUAGAUACCCUAGUAGUCC